GGAAUACCCGCUGAACUUAAGCAUAU
This 26-nucleotide ribosomal RNA is filed under the name Hypomyces odoratus. Its description in RNAcentral is "partial 28S ribosonal RNA". Lineage: Eukaryota; Fungi; Ascomycota; Sordariomycetes; Hypocreales; Hypocreaceae. RNAcentral also lists the same sequence under 1 other name. The record is from RNAcentral.